Molecule: transfer RNA, 67 nt
Filed under: Spondylus violaceus
Lineage: Eukaryota; Metazoa; Mollusca; Bivalvia; Pectinida; Spondylidae
Description: tRNA-Gly
Source: RNAcentral
CCGCUGGUAGUAUAUUAUAGUAUUACUUCUUUCCACGUGGUAGGUCCUCUUGGGUGGGGUCGGCGGU